RNAcentral lists this long non-coding RNA (511 nucleotides) under Elaeis guineensis (African oil palm). RNAcentral describes it as "long non-coding RNA (EGUI_LNC010728)". The record is from RNAcentral. Lineage: Eukaryota; Viridiplantae; Streptophyta; Magnoliopsida; Arecales; Arecaceae.
GCCUAUUAGGUGACGGCCUUUCCUUUUUGACGCUGAACAAGGAGGGGAGAAAAUCUCCUACUCUAACAUUUUUCUAGAACCAAACCUCCCCUAUUUUUUUUCCUCCCCAUGCUCUCUAUCUCUCUUGCACUCUCUCUCUUUUUCGCUCCCUAUCUCUCUCGCACUCUCCUUCCUUUCUCACGCUUCUCCACCCACAACUUUUCCCUUCUUCUCUCUUUCUCUCUAUUUUCAUCUUCUUCCUCUUUUUUCUUCUCUGUUUCUUUUCUUUGGAUGGCUGCUGCCUUGAUUAGCUUCAUAUGUAAACCUUAAACACUUUUUAUAUUUAGCUGAUUUAAAUUGAAAGUUAAUUAGUAGAUGGUAGGGUAGUAAGGAACAUAAGGGCUAAAGGCUUAAAACAAUGGAUAUAGAAGAAUUUUAGGGGGAAAGAAUAUUAAGAAAAAGAAUGUUAAGGAAAGUAACAAUAUUAAUGGGAAAAGAAUCUUAAAGAAGAAGGGAUGAUUUAGGAAGGUGG